RNAcentral lists this long non-coding RNA (1976 nucleotides) under Nicotiana tabacum (common tobacco). Its description in RNAcentral is "long non-coding RNA (NTAB_LNC002012)". Lineage: Eukaryota; Viridiplantae; Streptophyta; Magnoliopsida; Solanales; Solanaceae. The record is from RNAcentral.
AAGCUCUCUACAAGGGUUUUAAACAAUACCAUCAUCCCGGGCACGAAAUCAAGAAGCAAUAACACUAGAACGAUCCCCACAGCGUAAGUGUUGCUAUAUUGCAUCUCUUUUUCUUUGUAGUUUGAGUUUUAAAAGGUAUUUAAUAGUUAAGAAAAAUUCUUAAUUUCUGGUUUUAAGCUCUUAAAUAUCAAGGAAUGUUGAUUAACUGAUUUCAUAAUAGUUAGAACUCACGGGACGGUGAUCGGAAGCCGUGAGUUCGAGUUAUUUGACUUGUAAUGGAUUGUUUUUGGGCUGUUUCAUGUAGCUUUUGGGCUGUCUAUUUUGUUACUAUUAAAUGGAGUUUUUGGAGGAUAAAUUGUGGGGAGAAACACUACAUAAUGGUAAAAUCAUGGAUUAGUCAUUAUGUUUGACACUACUAUAGUCGUCGUUUUGGAUAUGAAUUGAUUGGGGUGUAUUAGGAUGUUGUAAGCUAAAUAUAAUAUGAGUUUCGACUUGCAUCUACUGUAUGAGGUAAAUAUAUUAUGUUUCUAGAGGUUCUUAAGGUUAUCUUGGCAUUGGUUAAGUUAAAUGGAUGAACUAGACAUGAACUAGUGAAUAAAGUUGCUAAUUAAGAAUAAUCGGAGUUGUGGAUCAUUUUCCUUGUUAUUGGAUAUAUGGUAUAAGGCUGGAAUUAUUGAUGAAUGACUUCAUUAUCAUGUUAAUGAUACUAUUAAGUUAAACUAAAAAGUCUAUAAGGGAUGAUAUGGGGUAUACGAAUUCCAAUUGGAGCUUGUCGCUCGUCGUAAAAUAGUUAUGACUUAUUGUUGUUUUAUGGUGUCUUGUUAUUGAUAAUUAUAUAUUGCUGGAUUUCUCUGGUAAUUGUUGUUGGUAUAUGAUUUUGGAGGAGGCUCUUGUUACAGGGGAGAUGCUGCCCGAGUUUAUAUAAACGAGCUACAAGUUUAAGUUGCAGACUUAGACUUUAUUCAACACUGAUUUUGAAUCUCCUUAUGCAAUGGUAGAUUGAGUUGAGUUGUUUGAAGAGUAGCUUGGGAGGUAUUAGGGACUCACCAUGGUUAAGGUAUGUUAAGAUACUUCCCUCUUUCUUUUGGCAUGAUCUAAAGUGAAAUGAAUACGCUAUUUCAUAACGGAUCAACUCCUAGAAACUAAGGUUGCCCAUGUUGUUCUUUCCUUAUAAAGUUAUUUUAAGCAAGUAUGUAUGAUCCUUGAAUCCUAUAGAAGCUCAUAUUGUUGGUAUGAUGUCCAUAAUGUUAAUCGAAGGUGCAACGACCUUAAGUCACUCCAAAAGGUUUAGAACGUGAUUCCAUGAGUCUAGCAUGCAUUAUAUAUAGUAUCUAUUUUACUCUACCGAGCUGCGCUAUUGUAGGCCGGGUACGACGCCUAUUGUGAAACCACUGAUCAGUUGGAUUUAUCGAGCUCCACGUGGCCGGGUACAAUUCUAUUGAGCCUUAUGAUGGUCGUGUACAUUUUUACCGAGUCCUCUUUGAGGCUGGGUACGAUAUGAUGAUGAUGAUGCCUACAAAGGCGUAUGUUUUAAAAGUUUAUGUAUAUAUAUGUAUUAUGAAUUUCAUGUCAGUGGCCCCAGAGGCUUGCAAAUGUUACAGGUUGUAUCUCUUCUAUCUCUCUUUAUAUUACUGUUCUUGUUUAUGCUUUCCUGCCUUACAUACUCGGUACUUUAUUUGUACUGACGUCUCUUUUGCCCAGGGAUGCUGCGUUUCAUGCCCGCAGGUCCCAAUUGAUAGGUUGACAUUCCUCCUAGUAGGCUAUCAGCUCAGCGGAGGUGUUGGUGCACUCCACUUGCUCCAGAGUUGCCUAUUUGGUCAGUAUGCUUUGGAUCUGUAUUAAUUGAUAUGGCGGGGCCCUGUCCCAACCUUUAUGAUUUUAUGUACUCUUAGAGGCUUGUAGACAGAUGUCAGGUUUAUGAAUACUUGUAUGGCCUUGUUGGCCUAUGUGUUGAGUUUACACAUGGUAAUGUCGGC